Molecule: transfer RNA, 82 nt
Filed under: Phoenicopterus ruber ruber
Lineage: Eukaryota; Metazoa; Chordata; Aves; Phoenicopteriformes; Phoenicopteridae
Rfam family: tRNA
About the family: Transfer RNA (tRNA) molecules are approximately 80 nucleotides in length. Their secondary structure includes four short double-helical elements and three loops (D, anti-codon, and T loops).
Source: Rfam by way of RNAcentral
GUAGUUGUAGCCUAGUGGUGAAGGCGAUGGACUAGAAAUCCAUUGGGGUUUCCCUGCACAGGUUUGAAUCCUGCCAACUAUG